RNAcentral lists this ribosomal RNA (253 nucleotides) under uncultured bacterium. RNAcentral's name for it is "partial 16S ribosomal RNA". It matches the Rfam family "Bacterial small subunit ribosomal RNA", at positions 524 to 776 of the family's 1533-position model. The record is from RNAcentral.
GACGAAGGAUGCAAGCGUUAUCCGGAUUCAUUGGGUUUAAAGGGAGCGUAGGUGGCCUUAUAAGUCAGUGGUGAAAUCUCUGGGCUUUACCCAGAAAUUGCCAUUGAUACUGUAGGGCUUGAGUAUAUUUGCCGUUGGCGGAAUAUGACAUGUAGUGGUGAAAUACAUAGAGAUGUCAUAGAACACCGAUUGCGAAGGCAGCUAACGAAACUAUAACUGACACUGAGGCUCGAAAGUGCGGGGAUCAAACAGG